AAUGAACGUUGGCGGCGUGGAUUAGGCAUGCAAGUCGUACGGUAAGCUUCGGCUUAUAGUGGCGAAAGGGAGAGUAACGCGUGGUUACAUGCCCUCGAGACCGGGAUAGCGGCGGGAAACUGGCGGUAAUACCGGAUAAUAUCUUUGGAUCAAAGGUGUGAUUCCGCCCGAGGAUUGGACCGUGGUCUAUGAGCUUGUUUGCGGGGUAAUGGCCCACCAAGGCGUCGAUGGAUACCGGGGGUGGGAGCAUGGCCCGGCUCACUGGGACUGAGGCACUGCCCAGACACCUACGGGUGGCUGCAGUCGAGAAUCUUCGGCAAUGGGGGCAACCCUGACCGAGCGACGCCGCGUGCGGGACGAAGGCCUUCGGGUUGUAAACCGCUGUCAGUUGGGAGGAAGUGCCGGGGGGUUCUCCCCUCGGUUUGACCGAUCUUCAGAGGAAGACGGGCUAAGUUCGUGCCAGCAGCCGCCGUAA
RNAcentral lists this ribosomal RNA (475 nucleotides) under uncultured bacterium. RNAcentral's name for it is "partial 16S ribosomal RNA". It matches the Rfam family "Bacterial small subunit ribosomal RNA", at positions 28 to 523 of the family's 1533-position model. The record is from RNAcentral.